UAGAUGAAUGCCCGUAAGUUUAGGCGCUUAGCUGUUAACUAAGAGUUCGAGGGAUCAAGGCCCUCUCAUCUAG
This 73-nucleotide transfer RNA is filed under the name Protopterus aethiopicus (marbled lungfish). RNAcentral's name for it is "tRNA-Asn". It matches the Rfam family "tRNA". From Rfam's summary of the family: Transfer RNA (tRNA) molecules are approximately 80 nucleotides in length. Their secondary structure includes four short double-helical elements and three loops (D, anti-codon, and T loops). Lineage: Eukaryota; Metazoa; Chordata; Ceratodontiformes; Protopteridae. The record is from RNAcentral.